CACGUAGGCGGACUAUUAAGUCAGGGGUGAAAUCCCGGGGCUCAACCCCCGGAACUGCCUUUGAUACUGGUAGUCUUGAGUUCGAGAGAGGUGAGUGGAAUUCCGAGUGUAGAGGUGAAAUUCGUAGAUAUUCGGAGGAACACCAGUGGCGAAGGCGGCUCACUGGCUCGAUACUGACGCUGAGGUGCGAAAGCGUGGGGAGCAAACA
RNAcentral lists this ribosomal RNA (208 nucleotides) under uncultured bacterium. RNAcentral's name for it is "partial 16S ribosomal RNA". It matches the Rfam family "Bacterial small subunit ribosomal RNA", at positions 568 to 774 of the family's 1533-position model. The record is from RNAcentral.